RNAcentral lists this ribosomal RNA (503 nucleotides) under uncultured bacterium. RNAcentral's name for it is "bacterial SSU rRNA". It matches the Rfam family "Bacterial small subunit ribosomal RNA", at positions 28 to 520 of the family's 1533-position model. The record is from RNAcentral.
GAUGAACGCUAGCUACAGGCUUAACACAUGCAAGUCGAGGGGCAGCAUGAACAUAGCUUGCUAUGUUUGAUGGCGACCGGCGCACGGGUGCGUAACACGUAUCCAAUCUACCCAUGGCUCGGGGAUAGCCUUUCGAAAGAAAGAUUAAUACCCGAUGGCGUGGUCACUCCGCAUGGAGUUUCCACUAAAGGUUUUCCGGCCGCGGAUGAGGAUGCGUACGAUUAGCUGGUUGGCGGGGUAACGGCCCACCAAGGCAACGAUCGUUAGGGGUUCUGAGAGGAAGGUCCCCCACACUGGAACUGAGACACGGUCCAGACUCCUACGGGAGGCAGCAGUGAGGAAUAUUGGUCAAUGGGCGGGAGCCUGAACCAGCCAAGUAGCGUGAAGGAUGACUGCCCUACGGGUUGUAAACUUCUUUUGUUUGGGAAUAAAGACGCUACGUGUAGCGUUCUGCAUGUACCUUACGAAUAAGCAUCGGCUAAUUCCGUGCCAGCAGCCGACGG